Molecule: ribosomal RNA, 300 nt
Filed under: uncultured Balneola sp.
Lineage: Bacteria; Pseudomonadati; Balneolota; Balneolia; Balneolales; Balneolaceae
Description: bacterial SSU rRNA
Rfam family: Bacterial small subunit ribosomal RNA
Source: RNAcentral
GCUAACUCCGUGCCAGCAGCCGCGGUAAUACGGAGGGUGCAAGCGUUGUCCGGAAUCAUUGGGUGUAAAGGGUGCGUAGGCGGGUCUGUAAGUCUGGGGUGAAAUCUUGCCGCUUAACGGUAAAAUGGCCCUGGAUACUGCAGGUCUUGAAUCUAGUAGAGGUUGGUGGAAUUCGUGGUGUAGCGGUGAAAUGCAUAGAUAUCACGAAGAACAUCGGUGGCGAAGGCGGCCAACUGGGCUAGUAUUGACGCUGAGGCACGAGAGCGUGGGGAGCGAACAGGAUUAGAUACCCCAGUAGUC